CUAUUAUAUAAUAUUUUUUAUAAAUAUAUAUAUUUAUAUAUUAUUGUAAAUUAUAUUACAUUUCUUAUAUAAUAUAUUUUUGAAUAUACAAUAUAAGUUUGAAUAUAUUUAAUUUAUAAAUAUAGAUGAUGAUGAUGAUUAUAAUAAUAAUAUAUAAAUAUAAAUUAUAAUUAUAAUAUAUAANCAAGUUAUUGGUGCUAGCAAGUUUUUGGCCAUUGAAUUAAGAGAUGUGCGGUUAGGAUGAUGUGGGUCCCUUAGGGUUGAGUGGGUGGUUGGUUGAAUAGUAUGAUCUAACGGGUGAAAAUGAUCAAAAGGGUAGAUCUAACGGUAAAAAACUUGGUAGAAUCAAGUACUUCGUGCUAUUAAUAGCAUAGUAACCGGACUCUAUAUAUAUAUAUAUAUAAUUAUUUUUCAUUCAAACUU
RNAcentral lists this long non-coding RNA (423 nucleotides) under Ananas comosus (pineapple). RNAcentral's name for it is "long non-coding RNA (ACOM_LNC026946)". Lineage: Eukaryota; Viridiplantae; Streptophyta; Magnoliopsida; Poales; Bromeliaceae. The record is from RNAcentral.